This 391-nucleotide unclassified non-coding RNA is filed under the name soil metagenome. RNAcentral describes it as "partial contains 5.8S ribosomal RNA, internal transcribed spacer 2, and large subunit ribosomal RNA". The stretch from base 1 to 122 matches the Rfam family "5.8S ribosomal RNA", at positions 35 to 154 of the family's 154-position model. The record is from RNAcentral.
GAUGAAGAACGUAGCGAAAUGCGAUACUUGGUGUGAAUUGCAGAAUCCCGUGAACCAUCGAGUCUUUGAACGCAAGUUGCGCCCGAAGCCAUUAGGCCGAGGGCACGCCUGCCUGGGCGUCACACGUCGUUGCCCCCCCAUCUACUCCUUCGGGAUUGCGGGGGGCGGAUGAUGGCCUCCCGUGCGCCUCGCCGCGCGGUUGGCAUAAAUGCCAAGUCCUCGGCGACGCACGCCACGACAAUCGGUGGUUGCGAAACCUCGGUUGCCCGUCGUGUGCGGUCGUCGCGCAUCGAGGGCUCGAAAAAAUUGCCGGGUUCCGGCUCGGCUUUCAACGCGACCCCAGGUCAGGCGGGGCUACCCGCUGAAUUUAAGCAUAUCAAUAAGCGGAGGA